RNAcentral lists this ribosomal RNA (443 nucleotides) under uncultured bacterium. RNAcentral describes it as "partial 16S ribosomal RNA". It matches the Rfam family "Bacterial small subunit ribosomal RNA", at positions 338 to 795 of the family's 1533-position model. The record is from RNAcentral.
CCUACGGGUGGCAGCAGUGGGGAAUAUUGGGCAAUGGGCGCAAGCCUGACCCAGCAACGCCGCGUGAAGGAAGAAGGCUUUCGGGUUGUAAACUUCUUUUCUCAGGGACGAAGCAAGUGACGGUACCUGAGGAAUCAGCCACGGCUAACUACGUGCCAGCCGCCGCGGUAAUACGUAGGUGGCAAGCGUUAUCCGGAUUUACUGGGUGUAAAGGGCGGGUAGGCGGGGACGCAAGUCAGAUGUGAAAGCCACGGGCUCAACCUGUGGACUGGAUUUGAAACUGUGUUGCUUGAGUACUGGGGAGGCAGACGGAAUUCCUAGUGUAGCGGUGAAAUGCGUAGAUAUUAGGAGGAACACCAGUGGCGAAGGCGGUCUGCUGGACAGCAACUGACGCUGAGGCGCGAAAGCGUGGGGAGCAAACAGGAUUAGAUACCCCUGUAGUC